Molecule: ribosomal RNA, 376 nt
Filed under: uncultured organism
Description: partial 16S ribosomal RNA
Rfam family: Bacterial small subunit ribosomal RNA
Source: RNAcentral
GUAGGUGGCAAGCGUUGUCCGGAAUUAUUGGGCGUAAAGCGCGCGCAGGCGGUUCUUUAAGUCUGAUGUGAAAGCCCACGGCUCAACCGUGGAGGGUCAUUGGAAACUGGAGAACUUGAGUACAGAAGAGGAAAGCGGAAUUCCACGUGUAGCGGUGAAAUGCGUAGAGAUGUGGAGGAACACCAGUGGCGAAGGCGGCUUUCUGGUCUGUAACUGACGCUGAGGCGCGAAAGCGUGGGGGAGCAGACAGGAUUAGAUACCCUGGUAGUCCACGCCGUAAACGAUGAGUGCUAAGUGUUAGGGGGUUUCCGCCCCCCCCUUAGUGCUGCAGCUAACGCAUUAAGCACUCCGCCUGGGGAGUACGGCCGCAAGGCUG